Molecule: ribosomal RNA, 577 nt
Filed under: uncultured Vibrio sp.
Lineage: Bacteria; Pseudomonadati; Pseudomonadota; Gammaproteobacteria; Vibrionales; Vibrionaceae
Description: bacterial SSU rRNA
Rfam family: Bacterial small subunit ribosomal RNA
Source: RNAcentral
GCUAAUACCGCAUAAUGCCUACGGGCCAAAGAGGGGGACCUUCGGGCCUCUCGCGUCAAGAUAUGCCUAGGUGGGAUUAGCUAGUUGGUGAGGUAAUGGCUCACCAAGGCGACGAUCCCUAGCUGGUCUGAGAGGAUGAUCAGCCACACUGGAACUGAGACACGGUCCAGACUCCUACGGGAGGCAGCAGUGGGGAAUAUUGCACAAUGGGCGCAAGCCUGAUGCAGCCAUGCCGCGUGUAUGAAGAAGGCCUUCGGGUUGUAAAGUACUUUCAGCAGUGAGGAAGGGGGUGUCGUUAAUAGCGGCACCUCUUGACGUUAGCUGCAGAAGAAGCACCGGCUAACUCCGUGCCAGCAGCCGCGGUAAUACGGAGGGUGCGAGCGUUAAUCGGAAUUACUGGGCGUAAAGCGCAUGCAGGUGGUUUGUUAAGUCAGAUGUGAAAGCCCGGGGCUCAACCUCGGAACUGCAUUUGAAACUGGCAAACUAGAGUACUGUAGAGGGGGGUAGAAUUUCAGGUGUAGCGGUGAAAUGCGUAGAGAUCUGAAGGAAUACCAGUGGCGAAGGCGGCCCCCCUGGA